Molecule: non-coding RNA, 11425 nt
Organism: Xyrichtys novacula (pearly razorfish)
Lineage: Eukaryota; Metazoa; Chordata; Actinopteri; Labriformes; Labridae
Source: the annotation of a GenBank genome assembly
UUAUUAUUUUUCCUCCGCUUUAAACUGGAAAAUGGCCCACUUCCCACUGGCGAAAACUCAGGAAAUUUGGCAGGACGACCAGGCCUGGUGAAAAAUUCGAUAUUCUGAAGUCGCCCAAACAAUAAAAUGCAAAAUGGCUCCAUAGCGCCCCCUAAGGUGAAAAUUCACACUAUUGACUGUCACGCCUGUACGCUUUGUCAUAUUGACACAAAAAUUGACACACACAUGUAUCUCAAUAAGAUCUACAAAAAAGUCAGUGCGGGCGUAUCUGUCAAAUGUACGGUUAAAGGGUUAUUUUGCAUUUUUUGCAGAUCUGCACACAUUGGAAUUUCGCUAACUCCUCCGAAGGCUUUCGUUCCACCGGCACCACAUUUGCUCAGGCCAAUCUACACUCCAUGGCCAUUCAAAGUUGUACAAAUCAUAAUGCUGCACCCCAUGGUUUAGGUUCUAGGGGGCGCCAAAAAUAACCCAAAAAUCCACAUUCUUAAAAGUUUUAUAAUUUUUUUUUUGUCCUCACUGGCCUCCAAGUUUUCUAGGAUGAUGCAAUGUCCAGCCAUCAACACAUUUGUGAAGGAAUUUUUACUCCCCAAAAGAGCGCCCCCCCAUGGCAGGACAAAAAAGUCCAUUUUUUCUUGUCCCCUAAGGUGAAAAUACACAUUGUUGAGUGUCACGCCUGUACGCUUUGUCGUAUUGACAAAAAAUUUGACACACACGUGUAUCUCAAUAAGAUCUACGAAAAAGUCAAUGGGCGCGUAUCUGUAAAAUGUACGGCUAAAGGGCUAUUUUGCAUUUUUUGCCGAUUCUCACACAUUGGAAUGUGGCUAACUCCUCCUAAGGCUUUCGUCCCACUGACACCAAAUUUGCUCAGGCCAAUCUACACCCCAUGGCCAUUCAAAGUUGUAAAAAUCAUGCCACUGCACCCCAUGGUUUACGUUCUAGGGGGCGCCAAAGAUGACCCAAAUAUCCACAUUCUUAAAAGUCGUUUUGGCCACUGCAGGAGUACAGAGUACUGCAGGAUACACACACACAGACACACACACACACACACACACACACACAAACACACACACACACACACACACACACACACACACUCAGAGUCUGUUUUUUAGCACCUGCAAAAACAUGCUAUUUACAUAUUUGACAACAAUGCAGAGGCUUCCUUUUGCCCCUGAAAAAAAUCAAAUUUCUAACACAACUUGACUGCUCAUUUCUCCAAAAGACAACCAUGAAGCUCCAUCCAAACCUGAAGCAGGCAGUUGGUGCAUGUGUACAGUAACCUGAGGGGAGUGAGGUGACUGCUUCUGAGGAGAACAUGAGCAGUGAAGAUUCACCUUGGAGCGAGAACAGGGACGUGCACAUGAUUAUACAGGGGCAGGGGCUCAAGUUUUUUCCAGUCGUUUAUACAAUAUGGAAAUUAAUGUGAAAUUAAAAAACAAAGUAUUAAUAGAAAGGUAAUGACUGUCCUGUGUAGGUGACAGUGAUAUCCAAUAGGCUAGGCACUCACGAGGCUGGCUGUGGCAAGUGUAAGUGAAAGCAACACGCACUGGCAGGAAGAACAGCAAACGCCGAUGAAGGAAAAGGGUCUUUGCAGUGAUGGGCGUUACCAGAGAGGACGAUGGCCAGAGGACGCAAAUGGGACGGGGAGGCAGCGCGUUGGGGGGGGGGGGGUGGCGACACAGCUCGGGCCCGCCAGUGCCCCAACGGGGCCCUAGUUCUUUCUUUCUUCUUUUUCCUCCCCUUUGAACUGGAAAAUGGCCCACUUCCCACUGGCGAAAACUCAUGAAAUUUGGCAGGACAACCGGGCCUGGUGAAAAAUUUGAUAUUCUGAAGUCGCCAAAACAAUAAAAUGCAAAAUGGCUCCAUAGCGCCCCCUAAGGUGGAAAUUCACACUAUUGACUGUCACGCCUGUACGCUUUGUCAUAUUGACACAAAAAUUGACACACAUAUGUAUCUCAAUAAGAUCUACAAAAAAGUCAGUGCGGCCGUAUCUGUCAAAAUUACGGUUAAAGGGUUAUUUCGCAUUUUUUGCCGAUCCGCACACAUUGGAAUUUCGCUAACUCCUCCGAAGGCUUUCGUUCCACCGGCACCACAUUUGCUCAGGCCAAUCUACACCCCGUGGCCAUUAAAAGUUAUCAAAAUCAUGACGCUGCACCCUAAGGUUUAGGUUCUAGGGGGCGCCAAAGAUAACACUAAAAUCCACAUAUUUAAAAGUCUUAUAACUUUUUAUUUUUGUCCUCACUGGCCUCCAAGUUUUCUAGGAUGAUGCAAUGUCCAGCCAUCAACACAUUUGUGAAGGAAUUUUUACUCCCCAAAAGAGCGCCCCCACAUGGCAGGAGAAAAAAGUCAAUUUUUUCUUGUCCCCUAAGGUGAAAAUACACAUUGUUGAGUGUCACGCCUAUACGCUUUGUCAAAAUGACACAAAAAUUGACACACACAUGUAACUCAAUAAGAUCUACGAAAAAGUCAAUGCGCGCGUAUCUGUCAAAUGUACGGUUAAAGGGUUAUUCCGCAUUUUUUGCCGAUCCGCACACAUUGGAAUGUGGCUAACUCCUCCUAAGGCUUUCGUUCCACCGGCACCACAUUUGCUCAGGCCAAUCUACACCCCAUGGCCAUUAAAAGUUAUUCAAAUCAUGACGCUGCACCCCACGGUUUAGGUUCUAGGGGGCGCCAAAGACAACCCUAAAAUCCACAUAUUUAAAAGUCUUAUAACUUUUUAUUUUUGUCCUCACUGGCCUCCAAGUUUUCUAGGAUGAUGCAAUGUCCAGCCAUCAACACAUUUGUGAAGGAAUUUUUACUCCCCAAAAGAGCGCCCCCCCAUGGCAGGAGAAAAAAGUCCAUUUUUUCUUGUCCCCUAAGGUGAAAAUACAUAUUGUUGAGAUUCACGCCUAUACGCUUUGUCAUAAUGACACAAAAUUUGACAAUCACGUGCCUUGCCUGGUAUCAUUUUUUUUCAGCACAACCUCACCUGUGCGAAUUUACAGUUAUUUUAUCAUGUUGACAUACUGAAUUUACACAAUGGACCCAAAUUCACACACAAAACAUAAAAUCCGAGUGGAAAAAAGUAACAUUUUUACUGUGAAAACCACAAAUAUGUGUGAUGAACUGUUUUUAAAACUUAAACUUCAAAUAAAAAUUGUAAACUUCAAAACAUAUGCAAAUUUUUAACAAAGAACAUAGUGAUUUACUUCUAUUUACAUCAAAAUGCAGGCAAUGGCCCAGGCGUUCUUUGUAAAAUUAUUUACAAAACACUGUAUAGUCUCACAAAUGUCACUUUUUAUUUAUGCCACUGCAAAAAAACAUGAUGUAAAUGAUGCAUGAUGUAAAACAUGAUGUAAAAAACUUGUGUAGAUCCUCCUCUAUGUCAGUCCAUGUGUAAUUUUUCCAUAAUUCUUUGUUUUUUGCAGCAUUUUUGUUAGUGUAACUGCAGAUUGUGCUGACAGUGUCUAUGGCACAAAAAAAAAAAAAAAUUAAAAUGCCUCAACAUGAACCCCUGGUGGUCUCUGAGGGUGAAACCUGCUAACUGCUGCAGCUCUGUCAGCUUCAGUCUCCCAUGCAGAGCUCUGAGCGCAUGUGUGGCUCUGCAGCCUUAGCAGCGUUGCUAACUCCUCAGUAAGGAAAGCCUGCUUCAUGUCAGAGUCUCUAAACUCCAGAAGAAGUCGAUAAAAGUCCCUUUCUUUCUAAAAAGUCGUUAGGGGGUCUGAAAAGUCAUUGAAUCUAACAACAAAGUCGCUAGGUUUGCAACUACGUGUCCCAGACUGCAUCCCUGCUGAGAGUCCCUCCCUCCCUUCUCAUGUUGCAGGAAGAACGUAAGCACCCUCCCCUUGUCAAUCAGUCACCAUAUAAUUUUGGAUUGGUUGUUGUGGUGAAGUUUUCCACCAAUAGGAGAGAUGUUGUGGUGUGUUUUUUUUUUCUUUUGGCAAGCCUUUUCCGCCUGUAAGACCUGUCGCUAAUGUCUGCAUGCUAUGUUUUCCUGUCUCAUACAGCGCGAUCGAGCGCCGAACGUGAUCAAAAUAAGCAGAAAACAAGUAUCGCGGACAUAAUUUAUCAUAACUCUGGUUUUAUUUGGCCUAUCAACACAAUUUAAAAACUGGUAUAUAGGUUGAGGUCCUCACUUUUGAGAUAAGUUGAAACGGAGAGUCAACGAGGCUCCGUCUUGCAGCUACAUCCGGUUAAAUAUGUCAUGUGACUUGAACGCACACACAGACACACACACACGCACACACACACACACACACACUCAGAGUCUGGUUUUUAGCACCUGCAAAAACAUGCUAUUUACAUAUUUGACAAGAAUGCAGAGGCUCCUUUUGCCCCUGAAAAAAUCAAAUUUCAAACACAACUUGACUGGUCAUUUCUCCAAAAGACAACCAUGAAGCUCCAUCCAAACCUGAAGCAGGCAGUUGGUGCAUGUGUACAGUAACCUGAGGGGAGUGAGGUGAGUGCUUCUGAGGAGAACAUGAGCAGUGAAGAUUCACCUUGGAGCUAGAACAGAGACAUGCACAUGAUUAUACAGGGGCAGGGGCUCAAGUUUUUUCCAGUCGUUUAUACAAUAUGGAAAUUAAUGUGAAAUUAAAACACAAAGUAUUAAUAGAAAGGUAAUGACUGUCCUGUGUAGGUGACAGUGAUAUCCAAUAGGCUAGGCACUCACGAGGCUGGCUGUGGCAAGUGUUAGUGAAAGCAACACGCACUGGCAGGAAGAACAGCAAACGCCGAUGAAGGAAAAGGGUCUUUGCAGUGAUGGGCGUUACCAGAGAGGGCGAUGGCCAGAGGACACAAAUGGGACGGGGAGGCAGCACGUUGGGGGGGGGGACGCGACACGGCUCGGGCCCGCCAGUGCCCCAACGGGGUCCUAGUUCUUCUUCUUUAGGGCCCGAGCCAGCUGCAGAGCAGCCGGGCGUAGAGCCCUAUUAUUCCUGUAUAGGUUUUUCUUUCUUCUUUCUUUCUUUCUUUCUUUAGGGCCCGAGCGUAGCUGCUAAGCAGCUGCGAGAGCCCUCUUGUUCCUGAUGGAUUCUUCUUUUGUUAUUAUUAUUAUUUUUCCUCCGCUUUAAACUGGAAAAUGGCCCACUUCCCACUGGCGAAAACUCAUGAAAUUUGGCAGGACGACCGGGCCUGGUGAAAAAUUCGAUAUUCUGAAGUCGCCCAAACAAGAAAAUGCAAAAUGGCUCCAUAGCGCCCCCUAAGGUGAAAAUUCACACUAUUGACUGUCACGCCUGUACGCUUUGUCAUAUUGACACAAAAAUUGACACACACAUGUAUCUCAAUAAGAUCUACAAAAAAGUCAGUGCGGGCGUAUCUGUCAAAUGUACGGUUAAAGGGUUAUUUUGCAUUUUUUGCAGAUCCGCACACAUUGGAAUUUCGCUAACUCCUCCGAAGGCUUUCGUUCCACCGGCACCACAUUUGCUCAGGCCAAUCUACACUCCAUGGCCAUUCAAAGUUGUACAAAUCAUAAUGCUGCACCCCAUGGUUUAGGUUCUAGGGGGCGCCAAAAAUAACCCAAAAAUCCACAUUCUUAAAAGUUUUAUAAAUUUUUUUUUUGUCCUCACUGGCCUCCAAGUUUUCUAGGAUGAUGCAAUGUCCAGCCAUCAACACAUUUGUGAAGGAAUUUUUACUCCCCAAAAGAGCGCCCCCCCAUGGCAGGAAUAAAAAGUCCAUUUUUUCUUGUCCCCUAAGGUGAAAAUACACAUUGUUGAGUGUCACGCCUGUACGCUUUGUCGUAUUGACAAAAAAUUUGACACACACGUGUAUCUCAAUAAGAUCUACGAAAAAGUCAAUGGGCGCGUAUCUGUAAAAUGUACGGCUAAAGGGCUAUUUUGCAUUUUUUGCCGAUUCGCACACAUUGGAAUGUGGCUAACUCCUCCUAAGGCUUUCGUCCCACUGACACCAAAUUUGCUCAGGCCAAUCUACACCCCAUGGCCAUUCAAAGUUGUAAAAAUCAUGCCGCUGCACCCCAUGGUUUACGUUCUAGGGGGCGCCAAAGAUGACCCAAAUAUCCACAUUCUUAAAAGUCGUUUUGGCCACUGCAGGAGUACAGAGUACUGCAGGAUACACACACACAGACACACACACACACAGACACACACACACACACACACACACACACACUCAGAGUCUGUUUUUUAGCACCUGCAAAAACAUGCUAUUUACAUAUUUGACAACAAUGCAGAGGCUUCCUUUUGCCCCUGAAAAAAAUCAAAUUUCUAACACAACUUGACUGCUCAUUUCUCCAAAAGACAACCAUGAAGCUCCAUCCAAACCUGAAGCAGGCAGUUGGUGCAUGUGUACAGUAACCUGAGGGGAGUGAGGUGACUGCUUCUGAGGAGAACAUGAGCAGUGAAGAUUCACCUUGGAGCGAGAACAGGGACGUGCACAUGAUUAUACGGGGGCAGGGGCUCAAGUUUUUUCCAGUCGUUUAUAGAAUAUGGAAAUUAAUGUGAAAUUAAAAAACAAAGUAUUAAUAGAAAGGUAAUGACUGUCCUGUGUAGGUGACAGUGAUAUCCAAUAGGCUAGGCACUCACAAGGCUGGCUGUGGCAAGUGUAAGUGAAAGCAACACGCACUGGCAGGAAGAACAGCAAACGCCGAUGAAGGAAAAGGGUCUUUGCAGUGAUGGGCGUUACCAGAGAGGACGAUGGCCAGAGGACGCGAAUGGGACGGGGAGGCAGCGCGUUGGGGGGGGGGGGGGGGCGACACAGCUCGGGCCCGCCAGUGCCCCAACGGGGCCCUAGUUCUUCUUAUUUUUCCUCCCCUUUGAAGGGGAAAAUGGCCCACUUCCCACUGGCGAAAACUCAUGAAAUUUGGCAGGACGACCGGGCCUGGUGAAAAAUUCGAUAUUCUGAAGUCGCCCAAACAAUAAAAUGCAAAAUGGCUCCAUAGCGCCCCCUAAGGCGAAAAUACACAUUGUUGACUGUCACGCCUUUACGCUUUGUCAAAAUGACACAAAAUUUGACACACACAUGUAUCUCAAUAAGAUCUACAAAAAAGUCAGUGCGGGCGUAUCUGUGAAAUGUACGGUUAGAGGGUUAUUUCGCAUUUUUUGCCGAUCCGCACACAUUGGAAUUUCGCUAACUCCUCCGAAGGCUUUCGUUCCAACGGCACCACAUUUGCUCAGGCCAAUCUACACCCCAUGGCCAUUAAAAGUUGUACAAAUCAUGACGCUGCACCCCACGGUUUACGUUCUAGGGGGCGCCAAAGAUAACCCAAAAAUCCACAGUCUUAAAAGUCUUAUAACUUUUUAUUUUUGUCCUCACUGGCCUCCAAGUUCUCUAGGAUGAUGCAAUGUCCAGCCAUCAACACAUUUGUGAAGGAAUUUUUACUCCCCAAAAGAGCGCCCCCACAUGGCAGUAGAAAAAAGUCCAUUUUUUCUUGUCCCCUAAGGUGAAAAUACACAUUGUUGAGUGUCACGCCUAUACGCUUUGUCAUAUUGACACAAAAUUUGAGAAUCACGUGUAUCUCAAUAAGAUCUACGAAAAAGUCAGUGCGGGCGUAUCUGUCAAAUGUACGGUUAAAGGGUUAUUUCGCAUUUUUUCCCGAUCCGCACACAUUGGAAUUUCGCUAACUCCUCCGAAGGCUUUAGUUCCACCGCCACCAAAUUUGCUCAGGCCAAUCUACACCCCAUGGCCAUUAAAAGUUGUACAAAUCAUGACGCUGCACUCCACGGUUUAGGUUCUAGGGGGCGCCAAAGAUAACCCAAAAAUCCACAUUCUUAAUAGUCUUAUAACUUUUUAUUUUUGUCCUCACUGGCCUCCAAGUUUUCUAGGAUGAUGCAAUGUCCAGCCAUCAACACAUUUGUAAAGGAAUUUUUACUCCCGAAAAGAGCGCCCCCCCAUGGCAGGAGAAAAAAGUCCAUUUUUUCUUGUCCCCUAAGGUGAAAAAACACAUUGUUGACUGUCACGCCUAUACGCUUGGUCAAAAUGACACAAAAUUUGACACACACGUGUAUCUCAAUAAGAUCUACGAAAAAGUCAAUGGGCACGUAUCUGUAAAAUGUACGGUUAAAGGGCUAUUUCGCAUUUUUUGCCGAUUCGCACACAUUGGAAUGUGGCUAACUCCUCCUAAGGCUUUUGUUCCACCAGCACCAAAUUUGCUCAAGCCGAUCUACAUCCCAUGGCCAUUCAAAGUUGUAAAAAUCAUGCCGCUGCACCCCAUGGUUUACGUUCUAGGGGGCGCCAAAGAUGACCCAAAUAUCCACAUUCUUAAAAGAAUCCACAUCCCCCCCCCCCCCAAGGCAGGAGAAAAAGUCCAGUUAACCCUGCCCAUCGCUCAAUGGCUCAAUCGCAUCGCUCUCCUGGCAACACCGCAAGGAGGAGCAACUUGCCAUUUGGAUAUAUCCUAGCUGUGUUUGUGCCCUCACUCAUGGUCCAGACUUUUUUCAAAUAGGACAUGUAGUUUGUCUGCAGCGACCGUUUUGGUAGAAACUGCGCCUCCCAUUCAUUAUAAUGGGAAAUGACCACAGACAAGUGCGCACACCAUCUUUGGACCUUGAGUGUGAUGCGAUCGGGAGGGGGAGGCAGUCGUGCUGGGGGCGGCGCAACGUGGCUCGGGCCCGACAGUGCCCCACCGGGGCCCUAGUCUUCUUAUUAGGGCCCGAGCGUAGCUGCUAAGCAGCUGCGAGAGCCCUCUUGUUCCUGCAUGUUUCCUUCUUUCGUUAUUAGGGCCCGAGCGUAGCUGCUAAGCAGCUGCGAGAGCCCUAUUAUUCCUGAUGGAUUCUUCUUUCUUCUUCUUCUUCUUAUUAUUUUUCUGCCCCUUUGAACUGGAAAAUGGCCCACUUCCCACUGGUGAAAACUCAUGAAAUUUGGCAGGACGACCGGGCCUGGUGAAAAAUUCGAUAUUCUGAAGUCAUCCAAACAAUCAAAUGCAAAAUGGCUCCAUAGCGCCCCCUAAGGUGAAAAAUUCACAUGAUUGAGUGUCACGCCUGUACGCUUUGUCAAAAUGACACAAAAUUUGACACACACGUGUAUCUCAAUAAGAUCUACAAAAAAGUCAGUGCGGGCGUAUCUGUCAAAUGUACGGUUAAAGGGUUAUUUCGCAUUUUUUGCCGAUCCGCACACAUUGGAAUUUCGCUAACUCCUCCGAAGGCUUUCGUUCCACCGGCACCACAUUUGCUCAGGCCAAUCUACACCCCAUGGCCAUUAAAAGUUGUACAAAUCAUGACGCUGCACCCCACGGUUUACGUUCUAGGGGGCGCCAAAGAUAACCCAAAAAUCCACAGUCUUAAAAGUCUUAUAACUUUUUAUUUUUGUCCUCACUGGCCUCCAAGUUCUCUAGGAUGAUGCAAUGUCCAGCCAUCAACACAUUUGUGAAGGAAUUUUUACUCGCCAAAGAGCGCCCCCCCAUGGCAGGAGAAAAAAGUCCAUUUUUUCUUGUCUCCUAAGGCGAAAAUUCACACUAUUGAGUGUCACGCCUAUACGCUUUGUCAUAUUGACACAAAAAUUGACACACACAUGUAUCUCAAUAAGAUCUACAAAAAAGUCAGUGCGGGCGUAUCUGUCAAAUGUACGGUUAAAGGGCUAUUUCGCAUUUUUUGCCGAUCCGCACACAUUGGAAUUUCGCUAACUCCUCCGAAGGCUUUCGUUCCAAAGGCACCACAUUUGCUCAGGCCAAUCUACACCCCAUGGCCAUUCAAAGUUGUACAAAUCAUGACGCUGCACCCCACGGUUUACGUUCUAGGGGGCGCCAAAGAUAACCCAAAAAUCCACAGUCUUAAAAGUCUUAUAACUUUUUAUUUUUGUCCUCACUGGCCUCCAAGUUCUCUAGGAUGAUGCAAUGUCCAGCCAUCAACACAUUUGUGAAGGAAUUUUUACUCGCCAAAGAGCGCCCCCCCAUGGCAGGAGAAAAAAGUCCAUUUUUUCUUGUCUCCUAAGGCGAAAAUUCACACUAUUGAGUGUCACGCCUAUACGCUUUGUCAUAUUGACACAAAAAUUUGACACACACAUGUAUCUCAAUAAGAUCUACAAAAAAGUCUGUGCGGGCGUAUCUGUCAAAUGUACGGUUAAAGGGCUAUUUCGCAUUUUUUGCCGAUACGCACACAUUGGAAUUUCGCUAACUCCUCCGAAGGCUUUCGUUCCAAAGGCACCACAUUUGCUCAGGCCAAUCUACACCCCAUGGCCAUUAAAAGUUGUACAAAUCAUGACGCUGCACCCCACGGUUUACGUUCUAGGGGGCGCCAAAGAUAACCCAAAAAUCCACAGUCUUAAAAGUCUUAUAACUUUUUAUUUUUGUCCUCACUGGCCUCCAAGUUCUCUAGGAUGAUGCAAUGUCCAGCCAUCAACACAUUUGUGAAGGAAUUUUUACUCGCCAAAAGAGCGCCCCCCCCAUGGCAGGAGAAAAAAGUCCAUUUUUUCUUGUCUCCUAAGGCGAAAAUACACAUUGUUGACUGUCACGCCUUUACGCUUUGUCAAAAUGACACAAAAUUUGACACACACAUGUAUCUCAAUAAGAUCUACGAAAAAGUCAAUGUGAGCGUAUCUGUUCAAUGUACGGUUAAAGGGCUAUUUCGCAUUUUUGGCCGAUUCGCACACAUUGGAAUGUGGCUAACUCCUCCUAAAUCUUUUGUCCCAUCGGCUUCAAAUUUGCUCAGGUCAAUCUACACCCCAUGGCCAUUCAAAGUUGUACAAAUCAUGACGCUGCACCCCACAGUUUACGUUCUAGGGGGCGCCAAAGAGGACCCAAAUAUCCACAUUUUUAAAAGUCUUAUAACUUUUUAUUUUUGUCCUCACUGGCCUCCAAGUUUUCUAGGAUGAUGCAAUGUCCAGCCAUCAACACAUUUGUGAAGGAAUUUUUUCUCCCCAAAAGAGCGCCCCCCCAUGGCAGGAGAAAAAGUCAAGUUUUCCUGCCCAUCGCUCAAUGGCUCAAACGCAUCGCUCUCUCGGCAAAACCGAAAGGAGGAGCAACUUGCCAUUUGGAUAUAUACUAGCUGUGUUUGUGCCCUCACUCAUGGUCCAGACUUUUUUCAAAAAGGACAUGGAGUUUGUCUGCAGCGAGCGUUUUGGUAGAAACUGCGCCUCCCAUUCAUUAUAAUGGUAAAUGACCACAGACAAGUGCGCACACCAUCUUUGGACCUUGAGUGUGACGCGAUUGGGAGGGGUAGGCAGUCGCGCUGGGGGCGGCACGACACGGCUCGGGCCCGCCAGUGCCCCAACGGGGCCCUAGUUAUUUUUCCUCCGCUUUAAACUGGAAAAUGGCCCACUUCCCACUGGCAAAAACUCAGGAAAUUUGGCAGGACGACCGGGCCUGGUGAAAAAUUCGAUGUUCUGAAGUCGCCCAAACAAUAAAAUGCAAAAUGGCUCCAUAGCGCCCCCUAAGGUGAAAAUUCACAUGACGGCUGUACGCUUUGUCAUAUUGACACAAAAAUUGACACACACAUGUAUCUCAAUAAGAUCUACAAAAAAGUCAGUGCGGGCGUAUCUGUCAAAUGUACGGUUAAAG